CAAUAGCGUAUAUUUAAGUUGUUGCAGUUAAAAAGCUCGUAGUUGGAUUUCGGAUGGGACUUGCCGGUCCGUCGUUUCGAUGUGCACUGGCCAGUCCUAUCUUGUUGUCGGGGACUAGCUCCUGGGCUUCACUGUCCGGGACUAGGAGCUGACGAGGUUACUUUGAGUAAAUUAGAGUGUUCAAAGCAAGCCUACGCUCUGAAUACAUUAGCAUGGAAUAACACGAUAGGACUCUGGCUUAUCUUGUUGGUCUGUGAGACCAGAGUAAUGAUUAAGAGGGACAGUCGGGGGCAUUCGUAUUUCAUUGUCAGAGGUGAAAUUCUUGGAUUUAUGAAAGACGCACUUCUGCGAAAGCAUUUGCCAAGGAUGUUUUCAUUAA
Molecule: ribosomal RNA, 379 nt
Filed under: uncultured eukaryote
Lineage: Eukaryota
Description: partial 18S ribosomal RNA
Rfam family: Eukaryotic small subunit ribosomal RNA
Source: RNAcentral